UGCCGACCGGGUGUCUGCACUAAGUUCAGCAUCAAUAUGGUGACCUCCUGGGAGCAGGGGACCACCAGGUUGCCUGAGGAUGGGUGAACUGGCCCAGGUCAGAAAGGGAGCGGGUCAGAACUCCCGCACCGAUGGCUAGUGGGACUGCACCUGGGCA
Molecule: small RNA, 157 nt
Filed under: Pongo abelii (Sumatran orangutan)
Lineage: Eukaryota; Metazoa; Chordata; Mammalia; Primates; Hominidae
Description: Metazoan signal recognition particle RNA (ENSPPYG00000037559.1)
Rfam family: Metazoan signal recognition particle RNA
About the family: The signal recognition particle (SRP) is a universally conserved ribonucleoprotein. It is involved in the co-translational targeting of proteins to membranes.
Source: Rfam by way of RNAcentral